Molecule: long non-coding RNA, 107 nt
Filed under: Vombatus ursinus (common wombat)
Lineage: Eukaryota; Metazoa; Chordata; Mammalia; Diprotodontia; Vombatidae
Description: lncRNA (ENSVURG00010021212.1)
Source: RNAcentral
UGGGAGUUUGGCAGCACACUGUCUAAGGAGAUUCCCAAGGAGCCAUUGUGUACAGCCUCCUUGUCCAGAUCUUCAAGAUAGAGAGUCACCAUCAGCUGUAAGGCCAG